CCCCUUCGGGGGUGACGCUGGUGGAAUGAGCGGCGGACGGGUGAGUAACACGUGGGCAACCUGCCUGUAAGACCGGAAUAACCCCGGGAAACCGGGGCUAAUGCCGGGUAACACCUUCUCUCGCAUGAGGGGAGGUUGAAAGAUGGCUUCUCGCUAUCGCUUACAGAUGGGCCCGCGGCGCAUUAGCUAGUUGGUGAGGUAACAGCUCACCAAGGCGACGAUGCGUAGCCGACCUGAGAGGGUGAUCGGCCACACUGGGACUGAGACACGGCCCAGACUCCUACGGGAGGCAGCAGUAGGGAAUCUUCCGCAAUGGACGAAAGUCUGACGGAGCAACGCCGCGUGAACGAUGAAGGUCUUCGGAUCGUAAAGUUCUGUUGUUAGGGAAGAACAAGUGCCGUGCGAAUAGAGCGGCACCUUGACGGUACCUAACGAGGAAGCCCCGGCUAACUACGUGCCAGCAGCCGCGGUAAUACGUAGGGGGCAAGCGUUGUCCGGAAUUAUUGGGCGUAAAGCGCGCGCAGGCGGUUCCUUAAGUCUGAUGUGAAAGCCCACGGCUCAACCGUGGAGGGUCAUUGGAAACUGGGGAACUUGAGGACAGAAGAGGAGAGUGGAAUUCCACGUGUAGCGGUGAAAUGCGUAGAUAUGUGGAGGAACACCAGUGGCGAAGGCGACUCUCUGGUCUGUUUCUGACGCUGAGGUGCGAAAGCGUGGGUAGCAAACAGGAUUAGAUACCCUGGUAGUCCACGCCGUAAACGAUGAGUGCUAGGUGUUAGGGGGCUUCCACCCCUUAGUGCUGAAGUUAACGCAUUAAGCACUCCGCCU
This 825-nucleotide ribosomal RNA is filed under the name Halobacillus sp. NH31. Its description in RNAcentral is "bacterial SSU rRNA". It matches the Rfam family "Bacterial small subunit ribosomal RNA", at positions 74 to 874 of the family's 1533-position model. Lineage: Bacteria; Bacillati; Bacillota; Bacilli; Caryophanales; Bacillaceae. The record is from RNAcentral.